This 797-nucleotide ribosomal RNA is filed under the name uncultured Glomeromycotina. RNAcentral's name for it is "SSU rRNA". It matches the Rfam family "Eukaryotic small subunit ribosomal RNA", at positions 314 to 1114 of the family's 1831-position model. The record is from RNAcentral. Lineage: Eukaryota; Fungi; Glomeromycota.
AUCAACUUUCGAUGGUAGGAUAGAGGCCUACCAUGGUGGUAACGGGUAACGGGGUGUUAGGGCACGACACCGGAGAGGGAGCCUGAGAAACGGCUACCACAUCCAAGGAUGGCAGCAGGCGCGCAAAUUACCCAAUCCCGACACGGGGAGGUAGUGACAAUAAAUAACAAUACGGGGUUCUUUCGGAUUUCGUAAUUGGAAUGAGUACAAUUUAAAUCUCUUAACGAUCAACAAUUGGAGGGCAAGUCUGGUGCCAGCAGCCGCGGUAAUUCCAGCUCCAAUAGCGUAUAUUAAAGUUGUUGCAGUUAAAAAGCUCGUAGUUGAAUUUCGGGAUCAGUAGGUCGGUCAUGCCUCUGGUAUGUACUGGUCUCACUGGUUCCUCCUUCCUGAUGAACCGUAAUGCCAUUAAUUUGGUGUUGCGGGGAAACUGGACUGUUACUUUGAAAAAAUUAGAGUGUUUAAAGCAGGCUAACGCUUGAAUACAUUAGCAUGGAAUAAUGAAAUAGGACGUUCGAUCCUAUUUUGUUGGUUUCUAGGAUUGACGUAAUGAUUAAUAGGGAUAGUUGGGGGCAUUAGUAUUCAAUUGUCAGAGGUGAAAUUCUUGGAUUUAUUGAAGACUAACUACUGCGAAAGCAUUUGCCAAGGAUGUUUUCAUUAAUCAAGAACGAAAGUUAGGGGAUCGAAGACGAUCAGAUACCGUCGUAGUCUUAACCAUAAACUAUGCCGACUAGGGAUCGGAUGAUGUUAAUUUUAAUGACUCAUUCGGCGCCUUACGGGAAACCAAAGUGUUUGGGUUC